CCUACGGGUGGCAGCAGUGGGGAAUAUUGCACAAUGGGGGAAACCCUGAUGCAGCGACGCCGCGUGAGUGAAGCAGUAAUUCGUUAUGUAAAGCUCUAUCAGCCGGGAAGAACAAGACAGUAACUGAGUAAGAAGCCCCGGCUAACUACGUGCCAGCAGCCGCGGUAAUACGUAGGGGGCAAGCGUUAUCCGCAUUUACUGGGUGGAAAGGGAGCGUAGACGGCAGUGCAAGUCUGGAGUGAAAGGCGGGGGCUCAACCCCCGGACUGCUCUGGAAACUGUACGGCUGGAGUGCAGGAGAGGUAAGUGGAAUGCCUAGUGUAGCGGUGAAAUGCGUAGAUAUUAGGAGGAACACCAGUGGCGAAGGCGGCUUACUGGACUGUAACUGACGUUGAGGCUCGAAAGCGUGGGGAGCAAACAGGAUUAGAUACCCCUGUAGUC
Molecule: ribosomal RNA, 440 nt
Filed under: uncultured bacterium
Lineage: Bacteria
Description: partial 16S ribosomal RNA
Rfam family: Bacterial small subunit ribosomal RNA
Source: RNAcentral